AGCUCCAAUAGCGUAUAUUAAAGUUGUUGCAGUUAAAAAGCUCGUAGUUGGAUUUCUGGCUUGGUGUGCCUGGCCCGCCACAGUUAUGUGUGUGAGUGCCGGCGCGCGCCUGCCAUCCUUCUAGAAAACAGUUCUACCUUUCAUUAGGCCGGGGCUGCGAUCUAGAUCUUUUACUUUGAAAAAAUUAGAGUGUUUAAAGCAGGCUUACGCUAUGAAUACAUUAGCAUGGAAUAAUAAUUUAGGACUUUGGUUCUAUUUUGUUGGUACAUGGGACUGAAGUAAUGAUUGAUAGGGAUAGUUGGGGGUGCUAGUAUUCAGCGGCCAGAGGUGAAAUUCUUGGAUUCGCUGAAGACUAACUUAUGCGAAAGCAUUCACCAAGGAUGUCUUCUUUAAUCAAGAA
RNAcentral lists this ribosomal RNA (400 nucleotides) under phytoplankton environmental sample. RNAcentral describes it as "partial small subunit ribosomal RNA". It matches the Rfam family "Eukaryotic small subunit ribosomal RNA", at positions 587 to 983 of the family's 1831-position model. The record is from RNAcentral.